RNAcentral lists this non-coding RNA (265 nucleotides) under Peptoclostridium acidaminophilum. RNAcentral describes it as "T-box sequence". It matches the Rfam family "T-box leader". From Rfam's summary of the family: Uncharged tRNA acts as the effector for transcription antitermination of genes in the T-box leader family. T-boxes are found upstream of many aminoacyl-tRNA synthetase genes and some amino acid biosynthetic genes usually in Gram-positive bacteria. The record is from RNAcentral. Lineage: Bacteria; Bacillati; Bacillota; Clostridia; Peptostreptococcales; Peptoclostridiaceae.
UUAAAGACUGCGAUGGGAAGAGUAGAUAUAGAUCCUCAAUUAAAGAGAGCCGAUUAUGGUGAGAUUUCGGCAUUGAGUUUAUGUUGAAGAACAUCCCUGAGUCUCUAACCGAAAUGACUUUAUAGUCAAAGUAGACUUAGACGGGGUCAGACCGUUAACAUCUGAGCAGUAUCGAGUUUAUCUCCGUACAUGCAGCGAGCGAACUAUAUCGUAAGAUCUAGUUACUUAGGGUGGCACCGCGAAAUCACAGCCUUUCGUCCCUUGU